Molecule: ribosomal RNA, 264 nt
Filed under: uncultured archaeon
Lineage: Archaea
Description: partial 16S ribosomal RNA
Rfam family: Archaeal small subunit ribosomal RNA
Source: RNAcentral
CAGCCCUAAACGAUGCGCGUUAGGUGUAUCGGUGACCACGAGUCACCGAGGUGCCGAAGGGAAACCGUGAAACGUGCCGCCUGGGAAGUACGGUCGCAAGGCUGAAACUUAAAGGAAUUGGCGGGGGGAGCACCACAACGGGUGGAGCCUGCGGUUUAAAUUUGGACUCAACGCCGGGAAGCUCACCGGAUAAGACAGCGGAAUGAUUGCCGGGCUGAAGACCCUGCAUGACCGGCUGAGAGGAGGUGCAUGGCGUAGACGUCU